This is a long non-coding RNA of Gossypium raimondii (Peruvian cotton), 1192 nucleotides long. RefSeq lists it as uncharacterized. The record is from RefSeq and is a predicted model, not a curated record. The transcript has 2 exons. NCBI's taxonomy places the organism in Eukaryota, Viridiplantae, Streptophyta, Magnoliopsida, Malvales, Malvaceae.
UGUCAAACACCAAAUCAAAGUCUUUCUUUCGAAAUUAGUUCAUCUUUUUUUAUUUUCAAGCUCUCCAAACACAAAAUCUCUCUUUAAUUUUGAAGAAUACUCAAAGCUCGAAUUAACUCCAUAACUCGUCGAUUUUACAAAAUUGAGUUCUGGACUCAUUGGGAGGUUCUACAAGCAAGGAUAAAGGCAAACAAAGGCUUAUUUGAAUUUUUGCCAUUAAAGUCAAGGUUGCAGGGUCAGUGGUUUGAUGUGCUAUAAUUAUGCACAAAUCAAAGUGUUAAAGGGGAGCUUAGGUAGCCUAAUCACCUAUACUAAGUUCCAUGACUAAGUUUUUCUACUUAAACUAAUGAUGAUUUGCAAAUGAUGCUUAAAUGUGAUAUGUUAUGUAAUGUAUAUUGAGAUGACAAUGAAAAUGUUAUGUGUUUAUGACUGAAUAUGAUAUGAGUCUUGUUGAUUUUAUGUACACUAUAUGAGAUCUAUAUGUUGUGGCUAUUUGAGCAUAAUGUGAGUACUUAUAAGCGCAUGGUAUGAGACUAGAAUAUGUGAUAUAAACAUGAGUUGUGUGACAUGUGAAAGCGUGUACAAAAUAGUAAGUAUACAUGUUUAAGUGGAUAUGUUUGGAGGGUAAAUUGGUUGUGUUUGGUGGGUGAUAGCUUUAUGCUACACAUUAUAUUAGUCGUAUUUGGAAAUUUGAUUAUCCAAUGUAAUAUAUUUUUUAUAUAUGCUUUAUGAUCAAAUUGUGCCAACAUAUCAAUGAGAACGCUACGAGUUGUGCUUGAUUGCUUACCAUGAUUAAUUGUGAUGGUAUGAUUUCUUUUAACUUUGGAUAUUGUGACUACUUGUGACAAUCUUUGAGCACUAAUUGAGCUUGUAAAAGCUCACACUCUCUUAUGUUUAACAAUGCAAGGAUAUGACUAAAACGAGGAGGAAAAGUGAGCCACCAAGUGAUCCAUAGCAAGGCAAUUUACCUUGAGUGUGUUUGAUGUCUUCCCAACUUAAUAAGGAAGGCAAUGCGGGACUAAUCUAGAGGGUUUUAAACUUUGAACUAUUAAUGGUUUGCAAUUUGACAUUGUGGACUAUUUAAUUGGUUUGAUUUUGAGUUUUUAUUAUUGCUUCAAAUAGAUGAUUGAAUGGUAGAUUAUAAAUGCUUGAUGAAUGGUAUGAGCAAUUGUUCGACUAACUUGUAAGUGUA